This 396-nucleotide ribosomal RNA is filed under the name uncultured bacterium. RNAcentral's name for it is "partial 16S ribosomal RNA". It matches the Rfam family "Bacterial small subunit ribosomal RNA", at positions 523 to 918 of the family's 1533-position model. The record is from RNAcentral.
AUACGUAGGUGGCAAGCGUUGUCCGGAAUUAUUGGGCGUAAAGCGCAUGUAGGCGGUAAUUUAAGUCUGUCGUGAAACUGCGGGGCUCAGCCCCGUAUGGCGAUGGAAACUGGGUUACUUGAGUGCAGGAGAGGAAAGGGGAACUCCCAGUGUGGCGGGGAAAUGCGUAGAAAUUGGGAAGAACAACGGUGGCGGAGGCGCCUUUCUGGACUGUGUCUGACGAUGAGAUGCGAAAGCCAGGGUAGCGAACGGGAUUAGAUACCCCGGUAGUCCUGGCCGUAAACGAUGGGUACUAGGUGUGGGAGGUAUCGACCCCUUCCGUGCCGGAGUUAACGCAAUAAGUACCCCGCCUGGGGAGUGCGGCCGCAAGGCUUAAACUUAAAGGAAUUGACGGGG